GACAUAACAUCAGAUGAUGCAAAUUUGUAUACUAGACCUGAACGAGGUCACCUUUCAGUUGAUUAUACAUGCAUGAAGUGGUUGUCCCUAGACAGAAAGAAAAAAAGGAAGCUAGGAAGUUCAUUGCUGGUAUUAGGAACACAGGCAGUGGUGAUGUUUUGGCACUCGAUGUGUCUGCUGGUCAAUUGAAGUGGACACUCAGUGAUUGCCAUCCUGGGGGUGUUAGUGCUAUUUCAUUUUCAACGCG
Molecule: unclassified non-coding RNA, 247 nt
Filed under: Hevea brasiliensis (rubber tree)
Lineage: Eukaryota; Viridiplantae; Streptophyta; Magnoliopsida; Malpighiales; Euphorbiaceae
Source: RNAcentral